GAUGUUGGAAUAGCAGAAUAUGUAUGUAAAGUCCUUGAGAAAAACAUGACAGAACAACUCGAUCAAGUGAAAAAAGCAGUUGAAAAAGCGAUCAAGGAUUUUGAACAAUGUCUUACAGAAGGGGUUAAAAAUUCCAAAACCUCUGAAGAAAACCUGAACACCUUUUUGCACCGUGAUGUAUGUCUCUGAAUUAUAAUUAACAUGAAAGCAACAGAUUUUUCACUUAAUGAGCAUGUGUUUAGAAAUGGUUUCUUGAUUUGUUUCAGGAAAACCCUCUCGUGUUCAUGACACUAGAGGCCGUGGUUAAGAAAAACGGCAUCCACAAAACAAAAAAAGGGGAAGAAAUAAAUCUCAACACAAUGUUGGCUUCCUGCUUGACUGACAGCAUUGAUGAAAAAUUCAGAAAGACCUUCCCGUAAGAAUAAAAAUUUUAUAAACUGUACCAUAUAAUUACACGGCGCCUAAAAUUAUUAAAAGAAACUUGUCAAUACUGCUGUCAUUGAUUUUUCAGAAAUGAUGUUAAAGGCAGAUAUUUCAAUGGAGUCAUCAGCAUAUUUUCACUUGACACAAAACCACUGAUUCAAGAGUACCAAGAUGUCAAACUGCAGCUGAUAUUUCUCCAGACAGAGGUACAAGAUGAACCAAUCAGGUUUAAUCAGUCCAUUAGCAGCAGAAUUUACCUAAAAUAGUCUUUUUGUUUUUAACUGAUCUAUCUUUCAUGUGUCUAAGGAGGAAAGAAUUAAGGCAAAACUCAACAAAAUAAUCCUAAAGGAGAAGAAAGUAAUCUACAAUAGUCUAACAGAGACAAUUGUGAAAAGCAUGCAAAAGGGCUAUGAUGGUAAGAGAUGGUCAACUUUCACAAUAAUAAAUCACAAUUGUAUAAAAAAAGAAAAAGUUUCAACAAUGUUUUGUGUCUUCUUGUAGAUGCAAAGGCAAAAAGGCAAAAGGAAGACAUGAGGAACACUCUUGAGACACAUGUAUCCUCAAAUAGGAACAUGUAUGAGGAUGCAAAAAAGACCAUGUUGGAGAAGAUGGAUACGUUGAAGACGACCAUCUGCAAUGAACUGAAGGAAACCAUGGAACACUCCAUUAAACUCUCAUUCAAGGUUGAUGUUUGCCCUCUCCCAGAUGUUUCAAAGCAUCUUAAAACUGUGCAGCGAUAUCAUGAUGAAGUUAAAAAGAGAGAGAGAGAAAUGCCAGCACAGUAAUCGGGUAAAUAUUUAAAUGUUAUUGCAUGUCACGGGAUUAUUAUUGUUACCCAUUUUGUGCUAAAUUGCUAGAUUCCUGAGAAUUCUUAAAGGGAUCGGCGGAGGGUUAUAUGAGCUUUUAGCUGAGAUUCUGAGGUUUCUGUGGAUACCACACAUUUGCAUGAAAGACUUGAUGUCAGGGAGGGUUAAACUGCAGGUCACCCCCUUUGUCCCCGGUACCGGGGGCCUUAGGGCUCAAGAUUAACCCUCUGGGGUCCAGGGUAUAAUUGGCCAUUUUUAACUACUUUUAAAAACUGCUUACCUUGCCUUGUUUGGUAUCAUUCUUUUCAGCACAACCUCUUGUGUCUGAAUUUACAGUAACUGAUAAAUUUUUACAUACUGUAUUAACACAAUUGAUCUAAAAUCAGAGGAAAAGCAUAAAUUCAGAGUAGAAUUUUUUUAUUUUCUAUUGUAGCACCAACAAAUAUGUUUAACAAAUCAUUUUCACAAUUUGAAUUGCAAAUAUAAAUUGUAAAUUUUAAAAACUUAUAAACAAGUUUUUCAAACAACACAGUUAUAUGCAACUAUUUACCUAAAAUGCAGCUGAGGCCUCAGGCCGUUUUCAUAUAAGCACUUAAAACUAUUUACAGAACAAUCAGGUUUUCUGCAUUGAAUAAGAAGGCACACAAAUGAUUUGUGCCACUGCAAAAAAUAGUUUGUGUCACUAUAAGACAGAGGAGAACAGCACUGGGAUAAACCUGCAGGUGUAUCACUCCUGUUUUCCCACAGUGUUUACUCUUCAAUCUGCUUUCAGUGGCUUUUUUGCGGCAACUGUGACACUUAAUAGUAGAACUGACACGCAAAACAAAACAACAAACACGCUAAACGUCACAAAUCUCUCACAUCUCAAAACUCUCUGUCUCUGUCUCUCUUUAGCUUGCUCCUUCUCACCGCUGUCACUCCUAAAACUUCUCCCUCUUCCUAAACAACCAAAUGCCACAUGUUGCGAUAUCAUUUUUUGAUUGGUUGACAUGAUACUUUUUUUUUUUUGCUCACAAGCGGAGAGUGCUUGCUAGCAGUGUCCUUAGAAAACACAGUUUUUACAGUUUUUUCCCGCAGUAAAUAACACAGUAUUACUCAGAAAACAAACAUCAUGUGUAUUCUUAUCCUACCUCUGGUUUUAUGUGGCCUAUUAACACAGUUUAAAAACUGGUAUAUAGUUUGAAGUCUGCCCUUUAAACACAAGUUGAACGGUCGGUAAGUCGCUGCAUCUCGUUGCUGUGUCAUCUUAAAUUGAUCAUGUGAUUUGGACACGCCAGCGUGUCAGUUGACCCCAGAGGGCUAAGCGCCAGUACCCUAAAACUCCCAAUAAUCCACUUAUGAAAAAUUGAUUAUAUUCCUAUAUUGUAUGAGAAAUUAUUCACUAUUUGCCUGACAAUGCUAGAUCUUCUUCAAAUGAAGUUUACUAACAGCUGCUAACCAACUGCUAACAGCAGCAAAAACAGCAGUACUCCCAACAUAAAAGCACAUGCUCCAAAAUUUACCUGAAUAUUGUCCACAGUCUUUGAACAGAAUUGAGUUAUUGUCUCAUGUUGGACUGACAGCUGAGGUAAACAUGCUGAAUUUAUUAUUGCUGAGCACAGAUGAAGUAUUUGAAUAAUAUAAUCACUUGUAUUUGGCGAUUCCUUACCCUUUUUACGUCCAAGUUACCUCAAACAUGUCAAAACAAAGUGUUUACAAAAAUUAUUUUCACCAUAAACAGUAGUAGUAACACCAAAUAAUAAUAUUUUCUAUUCUAGGGUGAGGAGCUUUCAAGACAUUUUAAAGCAAAUUUUAAGUAGUGAUGGUUUUACUGUUUGCCCUGAGCAGCUGAGUGUUAAAGAUCUUUCUGUUUAUUAUUACUGGAUGUUUCAGAAACACAAUGACCCACUCAACGUCUCUGAGAGAACACUGACUAAAAGCAUGAGGUCUCUGCGAAGCACCAAAUUUUUGUCAAGUUGUUUUGCCUUCUGUCCUUAAAUGUUGUUUGAUUUUUAAUGAAUUUGAUACAAUGAGAUUUUUCAGUCCUCACUGGAGGAAGCUCCUGGGUUUUAAUCUAGUUUGAGGCCUUUCUGUGUGGAUUUUGCAUGUUCUCCCUGUGUCUGCGUGGGUGCUCUCUGUCUACUCCAGCUUCUUCCUACCUUAUCACAGUUCAUUUAAUCAUUUCGGGGGGGGGGUUCCAGAAGUUGUUUGUAUUUUAAUUUUAGUUAACCAAAAUAUUCACAUCUAGUUUUAGUUUUAGUUAACUGUAAUAUUGUUAGCAACCUGCCCAGGGUGUACUCUGCCACUUGCCUGACAGCUGGGAAAGGCUCCAGCAACCUGGACUUGGAUAAGUGGAAGUAAAAUGGAUGUAGAUGUUUAAAUAUGAAUUCCUCCCAGGGGUGUCACCAGACUCUAAACCAAAAGGCCAGCAGUGUAUUCAAAUCCUCUUUUUUUCCUUCUUGGUUUUGUUAAUUAUUUGUAGACCCGAGUUAAACAGAAAAUUAGAAAGAGAAAUACAGAGGUAGAAGAUCUACAAUGUUGUUGUUUUUAAUUUUAGGGGUCUAAACAUUGAUAUCCAGAACUUUUUCUUUAAAUUUUAAUGAUUCUAUUGAUCUGCGACGGACUGGGGACCUGUCCAGGGUGUACCAUCGCCUCUCGCCCUAUGACAGCUGGGAUAGGCUGCAGCACCCCCCGCAACCCUGAAAAGGAUAAGCGGAAGAAAAUGGAUGGAUGGAUGGAUUCUAUUGAUGUUUUCUUUUACAUAUUUUGAUGUCUUAUAGUAAAUUUUAAUAUUUUAAUUACACGUGUUUAACCUUCAAUCAUUUAUUUUAGGGAUAUAUUUGUCAAUUUUAUUCUUGAACCUUAUACAGUGGAACCCCGACUUACGAAAUUAAUUUGUUCCCGAGGGUCUUUCGUAAGUCGAAGAUUUUGGUAUGUCGAAGCACCCAUUGCGCCUUUUAAAUGAACAAUAGCUAUAGGCUAGUUGGUAACUGCAACAACAAUACGUCAUUCAAGUGGAACAGCGAGACGCAACUACGAAAGCCAAGGGGUUGUCACAUGAUUCGGAAGGCAUUGUGGGCUUUGUAGGCUCAGCCAAUCAGAGCCAGCGGAUUUCGUUAUACGGGCAUUUUGCCGUAACACGGGCAGAAAUAUUGCCGUUCAGUGCCUUCCUGACUUGAAUUUUUCGUUAAAUGGGGUAUUCAUAAGUCGGGGUUCCACUGUAUAGCACAUCACUUAUGUAUACCAUUUUACUUACAUUUCUAACAUAAAUGUAAUUUACUGCAAUAAAAUUAUUUCAAUAAAAUCAUUUCUUUGGUUGUCAUAUGAUUAAUAAAGCAGCAGCAAACAACAAACCUUGUUCUUGUCUAUUUCUGACCCUAAAACUAACUAGCCUGGCAAAAAGUAUUUUGCAGCAGCACAGUAGUUUGUAACAUACAACAAUACUAUCUAUGAACUGUGAAGAUUGAACCACAAACCAUUUAUCAACAGGAUGUCAAAUGAUUGUUGAUGUCAUUGAUCAAGCUUCCUCUGACGCGUUCUUGCCUGGGUGACA
This 4761-nucleotide long non-coding RNA is filed under the name Oreochromis niloticus (Nile tilapia). Its description in RNAcentral is "lncRNA (ENSONIG00000033124.1)". The record is from RNAcentral. Lineage: Eukaryota; Metazoa; Chordata; Actinopteri; Cichliformes; Cichlidae.